Ananas comosus (pineapple) is the source of this 582-nucleotide long non-coding RNA. RefSeq lists it as uncharacterized. Lineage: Eukaryota; Viridiplantae; Streptophyta; Magnoliopsida; Poales; Bromeliaceae. The transcript is spliced from 3 exons. The record is from RefSeq and is a predicted model, not a curated record.
GAGAGAUUAGAGUCUUCUCUCUUUCUCUCUUUCUCUUUAGCUCAUAGCAGUCUCUCCCUCUCUUGUAAUCUCUCCACCAAAGAGAAAAAAUUGGAGGAGAAAUUGGAGAUUAAGCUUGGAAAUAGCUUGAAGAAGAAACUUGGAGCUCUCCAAUGAUGGAUCAAUUUCUUAACCUUGAUGCCCAAGGAUAAAUCGACGCAGAGGACAACUUCGUUUUAAAUUACGACGAGGUUACGGCAUCCGAUUGAGAAAUUUGCGGAAUUUGGUUCGUUAGGCUUGGAUCAAGAUGAAUCGGCGUCGAAAAUCAAAUUGCUUGGAAAUUAAUCCUAGCAAUUGGUAAUUAGCAAAGAGCCACUAUUUGCGGAGCAGCACCAGAUCGAGGCGAGCGUUGCGCCCUAAAUAGCUGGGUCACUAAGUGUAGGUAGCCCUAUGUAUAAGUAAGAAUGUAAAUGUAAUUUGGGAAGCAAAUGUAAUUGUAUUUUGGAAAGAGAUUCAUGUUUGUAAAGUAAAAAAAUGGGUGUAAAAAUGUGAAUGUUCAAUGUUAUAAUAGUUAGGUUUAUAUUCUCGCUCUUGUGAUAUGUC